CCCUUAGAUGUUCUGGGCCGCACGCGCGCUACACUGACGAAUGCAACGAGCUUAUAACCUUGGCCGAAAGGUCUGGGUAAUCUCCAAAUUUCGUCGUGAUGGGGAUAGAUUAUUGCAAUUAUUAAUCUUCAACGAGGAAUGCCUAGUAAGCGCCAGUCAUCAGCUUGCGUUGAUUACGUCCCUGCCCUUUGUACACACCGCCCGUCGCUCCUACCGAUUGAAUGGUCCGGUGAAGCGUUCGGACCGUGGCCUUUGGACGGUUCGCCGUCUGUUGGCUGCGGGAAGUUCGUUAAACCUUAUCAUUUAGAGGAAGGAGAAGUCGUAACA
This 327-nucleotide ribosomal RNA is filed under the name uncultured eukaryote. RNAcentral's name for it is "partial 18S ribosomal RNA". It matches the Rfam family "Eukaryotic small subunit ribosomal RNA", at positions 1470 to 1796 of the family's 1831-position model. The record is from RNAcentral.